Molecule: ribosomal RNA, 252 nt
Filed under: uncultured microorganism
Description: partial 16S ribosomal RNA
Rfam family: Archaeal small subunit ribosomal RNA
Source: RNAcentral
GCGCAGCAGUCGCGAAUACUCCACAAUGCGCGGAAGCGUGAUGGGGCCAUCCCGAGUGCCGUCCGCUGAGGACGGCUUUUCCCCGGGUGUAACACAGCCGGGGGAAUAAGGAGAGGGCAAGCCUGGUGUCAGCCGCCGCGGUAAUACCAGCUCGUCCGAGUGGUGGGGACGAUUAUUGGGCCUAAAGCGUCCGUAGCCGGCUCGGCAUGUCUCCCGUUAAAAUCCAACGGAUCCAAUCGUUGGACUGCGGGA